CCAUGCACUUCCAGAACUCCACCGGGAUCUCGUCAGGCCCGGUCGCUCGACCCCUACUCAUCCUACGCAAGGCCCCCAUCCUCCACCCUAAUGCGCCUGCAGUACCCAAGGUCCCUAUGCCGCUCAGAAUGCCCCAGCUCCCGUAGCUCUAUGUCACGAUCCCCCUCCUCGUUAAGUAAGUCCCGAAAGUACUCUUGCCACCUCUGUUUGAUUUGAGAUUCCCCCAACAGAACUCUACCGUCCUCGCCCUUGAUACACCUAACUUGGUCUAGAUCGCGAGCCUUCCUCUCCCUCGCUUUAGCUAACCGGAAUAACUUCUUAUCCCCGCCUCUCUCC
Molecule: long non-coding RNA, 336 nt
Filed under: Nicotiana benthamiana
Lineage: Eukaryota; Viridiplantae; Streptophyta; Magnoliopsida; Solanales; Solanaceae
Description: long non-coding RNA (NBEN_LNC035822)
Source: RNAcentral